GAUGAACGCUAGCGGCAGGCUUAACACAUGCAAGUCGAGGGGCAACACGGGUAGCAAUACCUGGUGGCGACCGGCGCAAGGGUGCGUAACGCGUGAGCAACAUGCCCUAUACAGGGGGAUAAUCCAGGGAAACUUGGUCUAAUAUCCCAUAGUAUUUAGAGGUGGCAUCACCACUAAAUUAAAGCUUCGGUGGUAUAGGAUUGGCUCGCGUGACAUUAGCUGGAUGGUGGGGUAACGGCUCACCAUGGCGAUGAUGUCUAGGGGUUCUGAGAGGAAGACCCCCCACACUGGGACUGAGACACGGCCCAGACUCCUACGGGAGGCAGCAGUGAGGAAUAUUGGACAAUGGAUGGAAAUCUGAUCCAGCCAUGCCGCGUGCAGGAAGACAGCCCUAUGGGUUGUAAACUGCUUUUAUAUGGGAGCAAUAAGGUCUACGUGUAGACUGAUGAGAGUACCAUAUGAAUAAGCAUC
RNAcentral lists this ribosomal RNA (471 nucleotides) under uncultured bacterium. RNAcentral's name for it is "bacterial SSU rRNA". It matches the Rfam family "Bacterial small subunit ribosomal RNA", at positions 28 to 494 of the family's 1533-position model. The record is from RNAcentral.